GUUAACCUGUGUGUGGAUAGUGUUCUGCACCAAGGACAGGUGUUCAAACCAGUGUGUGGAUGGUGUUCAGCACCAAGGACUGGUGUGUUCAUAU
Molecule: microRNA precursor, 94 nt
Filed under: Branchiostoma floridae (Florida lancelet)
Lineage: Eukaryota; Metazoa; Chordata; Leptocardii; Amphioxiformes; Branchiostomatidae
Description: mir-2060 microRNA precursor family
Rfam family: mir-2060 microRNA precursor family
Source: Rfam by way of RNAcentral